Molecule: non-coding RNA, 79 nt
Organism: Pisolithus sp. B1
Lineage: Eukaryota; Fungi; Basidiomycota; Agaricomycetes; Boletales; Pisolithaceae
Source: the annotation of a GenBank genome assembly
GGUUCUGUAGUGUAGUGGUUAUCACUCGGGAUUUUGAAUGCAAUUUCCCGAAACCCAGGUUCGAACCCUGGCAGGACCU